UAAAAAUGAAAACUUUGUU
Molecule: small nuclear RNA, 19 nt
Filed under: Arabidopsis thaliana (thale cress)
Lineage: Eukaryota; Viridiplantae; Streptophyta; Magnoliopsida; Brassicales; Brassicaceae
Description: snRNA_13895
Source: RNAcentral